GAAUCAAAUAAAAAAGAGAACAAUGUAAUUACUCCUGGGGACAACAAUGGUGGACGGAUUGCAUAUCCACGACCUUCUGCAUCACCGCUUCAUGCAUAGGCAUGAGUAAGAUUUUUUGUUGUUAAUAUAAAGGAAUCCUUGGAUGGGAAACAUUUUGAGUUCAGGCAUGUGCUAGAAGCAUGUGCCUAUUUGAGCAGUGUACAGUUUCUGGUUAUGUACUUUGCGUGCGUGUUAGUAUUUAUGCCUCCAUUUUUGGAUUUUUCCUGUUCGCCAUCAGAAUGAUGGAGCACAGAUAGUUAUCUGGAUUACUGCAAUAUUUUGUACUUGAAAACAGCUACAGAAGAGCAAAGUUUUUAUGUGAGUAUAAUUAAGUUUAUUUUGAGC
Molecule: unclassified non-coding RNA, 384 nt
Filed under: Hevea brasiliensis (rubber tree)
Lineage: Eukaryota; Viridiplantae; Streptophyta; Magnoliopsida; Malpighiales; Euphorbiaceae
Source: RNAcentral